UUAAGCUGUUUGUCCAACAGAUUCUGCAAAUACAUGUUGUGAAUGGGAGAAGUUGUCAUGGCAGCAGUAAAGGAGUAAGAAAAAGAAGUAAAGUGUUUACAUGGAACUACUCCAGUCAGACAUCAACAUCACUCCGUUUUCUCUGAAGUAGUCCUGCACAGAUUCCUAUCAACCAGUAACAAAGGGGACUGAAUUAGCCAGGGCCCUCUCUGUCCAGGAGCAGCAUAGCAGCCAAAUGGUCUGUCUCUAUGUUAAAAACAGAGGUAGAAGACUGCAUUACAUGACUGGACAUAAAGAAAACACCAAGCCAGAAGAAAUAAAACAUAAUUUCAUAAUUCUGUGAUUCAUAAAAUGAUCUGGUAUCAUAUGGAAUGUUCUCACCUUUAAGG
Molecule: long non-coding RNA, 389 nt
Organism: Hyla sarda
Lineage: Eukaryota; Metazoa; Chordata; Amphibia; Anura; Hylidae
Exons: 4
Source: RefSeq, a predicted model, not a curated record